AAGGUCUUUUUGUAUUCAGUGAAUAGAAGGGACUGAAGGCUGAUUGAGAAUGUGAAACUGUUUACACAUGAAGGGACUCUGUCCAGGGCUGGCAGGAAGCCAGAGGUAGAUAUAUCUAUUGAACUUCAAAAGGGUACGGUCACUGCAAGGUCACUACAGGUUAUAGCAAGAACCAGACUUUUCUUUCCUACUUACAGCCACCCAAGGGUACCUCACUCUCUCACUCUCGGCUGUGUAUGAGAAACUCAACUGUAGUCUCAUUCUUUUCAGGAAAGAAAUACUAAGCAUCAGAAAAGUAAUUCUGAAGGAAGACAAUGGUGGGGUUCCAAGAGGUUUGUAAAGAAUUAUACAAACACACUGCAGACGAUUUUUUAAAAAUAUUCAUGAAAUUUAUUUUUCACUUUCAAAACUAUCAGAUUGAUGAUUUUUGCCCUCAGUAAUUUAUGAGAUGAAUCUAUUUCAUUAUUCUGUAAAUAUUUUAUGUGUCAAACACAUAAAAAUUUCUGAGGUCAUCUAAGCCAGUUAAUGAAAUAUUUCAUUUCAUAAAUGUCAUGAGAGAAAUUCCUAAGUGGUGACGCAGCUUUGGGUCUCUUGACCAUACUCUCUGAUGGGAUCUGGCUUCACUACCAUAAGUGCAGUACCCAGGUAACACAUCUGCAGUAACUGUAGUAAUCCUCCCUCAGAACCAGAACUGGGACCUCAUUCCGAUCUAGCUGAUGACAGGUGGCAGGUGAGUGUUCCUUCUGUCCAUCUUUUGCUGUCUAUGUGGACAUUCUGAUGUGUGUCAGUGAGCUGAAUUCUACACGCUGUAUAUAUUGCAUGCAUUUCACUGCAGUCUAUGGACAUGCCCUUUGUAGAGCUUUUAUGGAAGAACCAAGAAGCCAAGGCAGUUUAGCAAACGAGGCUCAAUAUUUAUAAACCGGGGCCUUUUCUGUCUCUUUGCUAGCCUAGGUGGCUGUAUACAAACUGGGUGGGAGGGGCAGCAAACACCUCACACAUCACAUUUAGAUUUUCUACUUGGUUGUACUCUAGCCAAUCAAAACAAAUUGCUUACUUUAAUAAUAAAGUUUACCAUUUUUUAUUAAAAAAAAUCAAACCAUGACAUGUUUAAUUGAACUGGCUGUAUUGUAAUUAAUAUUUUGAGAUAAUUGUGAUUUUCAGCUUAAAAUUAUAUAUAAAAAUUGUCAUUUUUGUAUGUGUUAAAAAACCAAUGUACCAUGAUUAACAGUACUUUUUAGUUAAACUACAUAUUGGUGUAAAUAAAACUGAAUGAAGAAACACUUAUUACUUUAUUAACUUAGAUUGUGAAUGUACUUCAUGGUUUUUUGCCAUAUGAGACCAUAACAACCUUGAAAGCUGUUUAACUUUAUGUGCAAAGUCCCACUAACCUGUAUUUCAACUUUGCCAAGCCAGUGACUUUGCAAGUGUGAUCUGUACUCUCCAGCUGUGUCUUACGUUCUGACACGAGGGGUUAAGGGUAGGGUGUCGUCUGGAAGCAUCUACAGAUGCGCUUUGUACAGGUAAUAGCGCUGUGUGGUGUAUAGCAGAGCCAUUUUUAGGUUCUGUUGUACUCAAUUUUUUCAGAAUUUAAAAAAAGUGUUUUGAAUAUCAUAAAAGUCUAUUGUAUAAAUAAUAAAAUGUCACCUUAUUACA
This 1653-nucleotide long non-coding RNA is filed under the name Rattus norvegicus (Norway rat). RNAcentral's name for it is "long non-coding RNA NONRATT016999". Lineage: Eukaryota; Metazoa; Chordata; Mammalia; Rodentia; Muridae. The record is from RNAcentral.